GACGAACGCUGGCGGCGUGCUUAACACAUGCAAGUCGAACGGAAAGGCCCUGGUUUUGUGGGGUGCUCGAGUGGCGAAGGGGUGAGUAACACGUGAGUAACCUGCCCCUGACUUAGGGAUAUCUUCAGGAAACUGGGGCUCAUACCGGGUAGGAGCUCUUGCUGCAUGGGGGGGGUUGGUAAGAUUCGGUUGUUGGGGAUGGAAGCGCUGCUUAUCAGCUUGUUGGUGGGGUAGUGGCUUACCAAGGCUUUGACGGGUAGCGGGCCUGGGAGGGUGACCGGCCACAUUAGGACGGGGAUACGGCCCAGACUCGAACGGGAGGCAACGGUGGGGAGUAUUGCACAAUGGGCGGAAGCCUGAUGCAGCGACGCCGCGUGCGGGAUAACGUGCUUCGGGUUGUAAACCGCUUUCGCCUGUGACGAAGCGAUAGUGACGGUAAUGGGUAAAGAAGCACCGGCUAACUACGUG
RNAcentral lists this ribosomal RNA (468 nucleotides) under uncultured bacterium. Its description in RNAcentral is "partial 16S ribosomal RNA". It matches the Rfam family "Bacterial small subunit ribosomal RNA", at positions 28 to 507 of the family's 1533-position model. The record is from RNAcentral.